UACGUAGGGUCCGAGCGUUGUCCGGAGUUACUGGGCGUAAAGCGCGCGCAGGCGGCGGUGUUGGCCCGGCGUGAAAGCCCCCGGCUCAACCGGGGAGAGUCGUCGGGGACCGCACCGCUUGAGGGCGGUAGGGGCUGGUGGAAUGCCUGGUGUAGUGGUGAAAUGCGUAGAGACCAGGCAGAACACCUGGGGCGAAGGCGGCCAGCUGGGCCGUCCCUGACGCUGAGGCGCGAAGGCGUGGGGAGCGAACGGG
This 253-nucleotide ribosomal RNA is filed under the name uncultured bacterium. Its description in RNAcentral is "partial 16S ribosomal RNA". It matches the Rfam family "Bacterial small subunit ribosomal RNA", at positions 524 to 776 of the family's 1533-position model. The record is from RNAcentral.